GGGGAGUUCGGUUGGAGCCCUGGGUUGUCAGCUUCACCUCGUUCAAGUUUGGCCUCUUCCGGGAUAGUGCAUUCCACUAUGAAGUCGGCUAAUAUCUGAGCUUUUAUCGUCGAUCGAGGUCGAUAGUUGAUGUCGAAUUUCAUGAGCUCGAUCACCAAUUUCGCUAUCUUUUCGGAAACAUCCGCUCGAUGCAGAACUGCCUUGAUCAGCUGGUCGGUGAGCAGUAUUAUGGUGUGCCCUUGAAAGUAAGGUCGAAGCUUUCGAGAUCGG
This 270-nucleotide long non-coding RNA is filed under the name Elaeis guineensis (African oil palm). RNAcentral's name for it is "long non-coding RNA (EGUI_LNC071530)". Lineage: Eukaryota; Viridiplantae; Streptophyta; Magnoliopsida; Arecales; Arecaceae. The record is from RNAcentral.